GAUGAACGCUGGCGGCGUGCCUAAUACAUGCAAGUAGAACGCUGAAGGAGGAGCUUGCUCUUCUGGAUGAGUUGCGAACGGGUGAGUAACGCGUAGGUAACCUGCCUGGUAGCGGGGGAUAACUAUUGGAAACGAUAGCUAAUACCGCAUGACAACAGUUAUUGCACGAUAACUGUUUAAAAGGGGCAACUGCUCCACUACCAGAUGGACCUGCGUUGUAUUAGCUAGUUGGCGAGGUAACGGCUCACCAAGGCGACGAUACAUAGCCGACCUGAGAGGGUGAUCGGCCACACUGGGACUGAGACACGGCCCAGACUCCUACGGGAGGCAGCAGUAGGGAAUCUUCGGCAAUGGACGGAAGUCUGACCGAGCAACGCCGCGUGAGUGAAGAAGGUUUUCGGAUCGUAAAGCUCUGUUGUAAGAGAAGAACGAGUGUGAGAGUGGAAAGUUCACACUGUGACGGUAUCUUACCAGAAAGGGACGGCUAACUACGUG
This 495-nucleotide ribosomal RNA is filed under the name uncultured bacterium. RNAcentral describes it as "partial 16S ribosomal RNA". It matches the Rfam family "Bacterial small subunit ribosomal RNA", at positions 28 to 507 of the family's 1533-position model. The record is from RNAcentral.